This 88-nucleotide non-coding RNA is filed under the name unclassified sequences. The record is from Rfam.
GUACUGUUAUUAAGGUGGGAAAUGAUGUGAAAUUCAUCAGCUGUGCUCGCAACGGUAAAUUAGUUAAAGUCCGAAGGCCACUCAGUAU